RNAcentral lists this ribosomal RNA (253 nucleotides) under uncultured bacterium. Its description in RNAcentral is "partial 16S ribosomal RNA". It matches the Rfam family "Bacterial small subunit ribosomal RNA", at positions 524 to 776 of the family's 1533-position model. The record is from RNAcentral.
UACGGAGGGGGCUAGCGUUGUUCGGAAUUACUGGGCGUAAAGCGCACGUAGGCGGACCGUCAAGUUGGGGGUGAAAUCCCGGGGCUCAACCCCGGAACUGCCUCCAAAACUGCUGGUCUGGAGGUCGAGAGAGGUGAGUGGAAUUCCGAGUGUAGAGGUGAAAUUCGUAGAUAUUCGGAGGAACACCAGUGGCGAAGGCGGCUCACUGGCUCGAUACUGACGCUGAGGUGCGAAAGCGUGGGGAGCAAACAGG